GACGAACGCUGGCGGCGUGCCUAAUACAUGCAAGUCGAACGCAGUGGGGACGGGUGCGUAACACGUGGGUAACCUCCCAUCAGAGUGGAUAACACUUGGAUACAGGUGCUAAACCGAUACUGAUGGAUGGACCCGCGGUGCAUUAGCUAGUUGGUGAGGUAAGGGCUCACCAAGGCAACGAUGCAUAGCGGACCAGGGAGGGUGAUAGGCAAAACUGGGACUGCAACACGGCCCAGAAUCCUACGGGAGGCAGGAGGAGGGAAGCAUGGGAAAUGGACGAAAGGCUGACCGAGCAACGGAGCGUGAGUGAAGAAGGGUUUCGGAGAGUAAAACUCUGUUGUUAGAGAAGCGGUAGCUACCCAGAAAGCCACGGCUAACUUCGUGCCAGCAGCCGCGGUAAUAC
This 403-nucleotide ribosomal RNA is filed under the name uncultured bacterium. RNAcentral's name for it is "partial 16S ribosomal RNA". It matches the Rfam family "Bacterial small subunit ribosomal RNA", at positions 28 to 526 of the family's 1533-position model. The record is from RNAcentral.